AGGGUGAAGUCGUAACAAGGUAGCCGUAGGAGAACCUGCGGCUGGAUCACCUCCUUUCUAAGGAAUAAUACGGAAAACCUUGUACAUUUGCGAAAUCAAAACUUUGUUUAGUUUUGAGAGGUCUACUCUCAAACUUUGUUCUUUGAAAACUGGAUAAUAAGUAAUAUAUUAGUUUUAAAAGCCGAGAAAAACAUUGCGUUUUAAAGAGUUUUUUAAUAA
RNAcentral lists this ribosomal RNA (219 nucleotides) under Latilactobacillus sakei. RNAcentral's name for it is "Lactobacillus sakei partial 16S ribosomal RNA". The stretch from base 1 to 57 matches the Rfam family "Bacterial small subunit ribosomal RNA", at positions 1477 to 1533 of the family's 1533-position model. Lineage: Bacteria; Bacillati; Bacillota; Bacilli; Lactobacillales; Lactobacillaceae. The record is from RNAcentral.